RNAcentral lists this ribosomal RNA (478 nucleotides) under uncultured bacterium. RNAcentral's name for it is "bacterial SSU rRNA". It matches the Rfam family "Bacterial small subunit ribosomal RNA", at positions 28 to 521 of the family's 1533-position model. The record is from RNAcentral.
GACGAACGCUGGCGGCGUGCUUAACACAUGCAAGUCGAACGGUGACGAGGAGCUUGCUCCUCUGAUCAGUGGCGAACGGGUGAGUAACACGUGAGCAACCUGCCCCAGACUCUGGGAUAACAGUUGGAAACAGCUGCUAAUACCGGAUACGAGACGGAGAGGCAUCUCUACCGUCUGGAAAGUUUUCGGUCUGGGAUGGACUCGCGGCCUAUCAGCUAGUUGGUGAGGUAAUGGCUCACCAAGGCGACGACGGGUAGCCGGCCUGAGAGGGCGACCGGCCACACUGGGACUGAGACACGGCCCAGACUCCUACGGGAGGCAGCAGUGGGGAAUAUUGCACAAUGGGCGAAAGCCUGAUGCAGCGACGCCGCGUGAGGGAUGAAGGCCUUCGGUGUAAACCUCUUUCAGCAGGGAAGAAGCGAAAGUGACGGUACCUGCAGAAGAAGCACCGGCGUAACUACGUGCCAGCAGCCGCGGU